UGGGGAAUAUUGCACAAUGGGCGCAAGCCUGAUGCAGCCAUGCCGCGUGUGUGAAGAAGGCCUUCGGGUUGUAAAGCACUUUCAGCGAGGAGGAAGGUGGUGAGCUUAAUACGCUCAUCAAUUGACGUUACUCGCAGAAGAAGCACCGGCUAACUCCGUGCCAGCAGCCGCGGUAAUACGGAGGGUGCAAGCGUUAAUCGGAGUUACUGGGCGUAAAGCGCACGCAGGCGGUUUGUUAAGUCAGAUGUGAAAUCCCCGGGCUCAACCUGGGAACUGCAUUUGAAACUGGCAAGCUAGAGUCUCGUAGAGGGGGGUAGAAUUCCAGGUGUAGCGGUGAAAUGCGUAGAGAUCUGGAGGAAUACCGGUGGCGAAGGCGGCCCCUGGACGAAGACUGACGCUCAGG
RNAcentral lists this ribosomal RNA (403 nucleotides) under uncultured bacterium. RNAcentral describes it as "partial 16S ribosomal RNA". It matches the Rfam family "Bacterial small subunit ribosomal RNA", at positions 355 to 751 of the family's 1533-position model. The record is from RNAcentral.